Urocitellus parryii (Arctic ground squirrel) is the source of this 2342-nucleotide long non-coding RNA. RefSeq lists it as uncharacterized. Lineage: Eukaryota; Metazoa; Chordata; Mammalia; Rodentia; Sciuridae. The record is from RefSeq and is a predicted model, not a curated record.
GCUCCGGGCCACAGGGAAGAUCAUGCACAGGAGGGGGGCUGCUCGCUGGUGUCGUCGCCUCCAGUCAGGGGCCAAGCUGAGUGGGUGCCUGCUUGUCUGGAUCCUAAGGGUGUCUGCAGGAGACAAGGAGAAUUCCCGAGGAAAGCAUGGGGACAGAGGAAGGAGCUCCAGGAAUGGUUGGCAGGGCAAUUGGGCAAGCUGUACCGAAGCCGGGUGCCCAGAGGGACUUGCAACCUGGAAGGGGGCGUGUGGGGGCGCUGCCGUGAAGAUGAAUGAGGGAAGAGGCUUUUGAUGCCAGCAGAAGGGAAAACGCCCCGGAGGAGCUGCCGAAUGCUUUUAGUUCCCCAGCAGGAACAAGAAGCCGGUGCUCAGAUCCCAAGGCUGCGCAACGUUCCCAGCUUUGACCGCUUCCGCCCCACUUGCGCGGAAUACGCACAGGAGGCCCAGCAGCCAAGCAGAGCUGGGCUCUGGGGAAGAACCGAAUGGGAAUAAGGCCACCCCGGAAAGCCAAGUCCGAGUUCCAAUUCUUGAAGAGACCGCGGCGGGCAAGGUUGUGACAUUGGCCCUGGCGACUGUUUUCCCAUAAGCUGCUGUUUCUCAAGAGCUCCACAGCGCGGGGCCAUCUUCAGAAAACACUCUUCGGCGUGUAUUUCCUUUAAUCGUCCAUCCGGAGCUCCACGGCGGCUAAUGCGCGAGGCCAAAAAUGUUUGGAGGAAGAAAAACAAAGGCAGGAAGUGGCGGCGGCCUGACGGUGCGUGUGUGUCUGUAAAGAAGGGAGGGAGCCGGUUCAAUCUCUCCUUGUUUUUCCGAACUUCAAGUUCUAGGCAGAUCUCCGCCGGGCUGGCCCUGUCUCUCCCGGCGCAGCUUUUGGAGGUGGCCACCCAGAGAGAAGGCCGGCGCCCGCGCCAGCCUUGUCAGGCGGAAAUGGCUAACAAAAUUUGGUCAACAAAACUGGCCAAGCCUUUCUGAGGCUUCUUCUGGUUUGUUCUAAAGUUGCGGGGGUGGGGGCGGUGCUGCGCAUCGCUUCCCGGACCCUCUUUGGAGGGCUGACUGCCACCGUCUGAGGAUGGUGGUUAGUGCAACCCGCGCUCCACCCGCCUUCCCAGGCGGGAUAUCAGAAUAAAGUCUGUCCAGGCGCCUCUGCCGCAUCYGCUUCUUCUUGUAGUAGGGGAGGUCUGGGCAGCGGCGAGCCUCUCCACAAAGCCUGGGCGGGGUGGCCUCGGGGCAGUCAUUGCGCAGUUGGGCAAUUGGAAGCCCGUUACCCCGGUUGUUGUGCCUGGGGCAUUUCCAACACAUUCAAGGGACAGGUGCUGCAAGAACCAUCACUUGACAGUCAGCUUAACACCUUCUCACUCCAAGGGAGGAUAGAGCUGUGGGGCAGAGAGCACCUCUGGUCUCCAAGCUUCCUAACCCCAACUGGCAAGGCUGUCCUCGCUAUCCUUGGGGUUGGCUUGGGAUGCUCCCUGGCUUGGGAUGCUCCCUGUCCCCUGACUCUGAAAAUCUGAAGUCUAUACUUGCAGCCCUUUGAAUGCAAGCGAGUGGUCCAUAGGAUCCACAGUGUGAAUGUCAAACCAAGCUGCCCCCACUCAACACAUUCCUUCUCAGUCCGGUCUUGUUCUCUUGCAGUUCCUGCUAGCUCUUCUCCUAUCCUGCCUCUUUCCAGCCAGUCUUCCCUUCUCAGUUCUCCUGCUUUUUUCUGAUGUGUUUUCUAGGCUGUGCAAGAGCUAAGAUGCCACUGGAGGGCACUUAGUAUGCAGGCAUAGAGAGAGGGGUCUAUUAGAUUUCCCACCUCCCCUUUCCAGAUCUGUACUGGGUCUCUCACCUCCUUCUUUGGACUACUCCUUCUCAAAUCCCUACUAUGUCUGCUUUCUUUUUCUCACUCCCUCCUUCACCAACACUUUUCUUCUGGGGACCCAGCUCCUGCUUUUCUGGCCUCCGCAAUCUCCAACGGUAGCUGACCUGGGAAGGGUUGGACACCUUUGUCAGACCAAAUCUCAUUCCUAAUUGUCUACAGUUGUUUCUUAAUGGAUUUCUUAGGGCACCUUUAAUAUUUUGCCUCUUCUUGCUGACAUAAGCUCUUACUUUCUUUUGUCCCAAAUGUUGACUGUUUUGAAAAAGCUGAAGAGAAGAUUAUUGCUACCCUGAUGACCAUAUUGCACACAGGUGCAAGAACCAGCCAGGAGGAUGAAGGUGGAAAUGGCCACAGAGCUCUAGACAGGACUGAAGGCCAGGCCUCUAUUUGGAGAAUCUUUCCUUCCAAGUAGGAGUUGUCCUUGGGGUUACUGUCCUUGGUAGUGGGCUAGGGAGAUGGAUUGAAUGGAAUGGCCCAAGAGAUCUCUAAG